This is a long non-coding RNA of Sebastes umbrosus (honeycomb rockfish), 1065 nucleotides long. RefSeq lists it as uncharacterized. The transcript has 3 exons. NCBI's taxonomy places the organism in Eukaryota, Metazoa, Chordata, Actinopteri, Perciformes, Sebastidae. The record is from RefSeq and is a predicted model, not a curated record.
ACUAUCACUGGAUUACUGUGAUACUGAAGAAAAGUUAAAAACGGGACUAUUCUCAGGCGAGUUCUGCAGCUACGAGGAGUCUCUGCUUUCUAAGAGGAUUUAUGGACGUUUAUUCACGAUGGACAUCAGAGAGAAAGAAGUCAAACAUGAGUCCUGAUCCAACAGCAACAAUGGUGACCUGAGAACUGAAUAUUUGGAGCACAUCUGAACACAGAUCUGCACAGGUUCUGUCCUCCAUAGCAUCCUGGCUCUUUGCUGCUGAGACUGUAAUGAAGUUUAGACCGACUGUAACGACUGUGUAGUGUUUGUCUGAGAAAAUAUAUUUCUACACAGAACACUUUAUGUGUUACAGCACUUGAACAUAAAAGGUAUGGAAGACAUAACCUGCCAAAGUAAAAAAUAAACGAAUAAAAAAAUAAUAAUAUUCCCUUAUUUUUUUAGUCUUCUGUUUAAUUUUCCCUUUUAUUUAUUUAUGAAUUUAUUUUUAUUACAUUUUAAAUGUAUUUAUUAAUUUUUGCUUUUAUUUACUUAUUUUGUUAUUUAUUGUAUAUCUAUUUUUAAAUUUAUUUAUUUAUUGUUGUAUUUUCUUGACACAUUUCUUUUGACAUUUUUUUAUAUAUUCCUGCCUUAUUAUGCAAAUUAAUAUCUAUAUUUAUUUUUAUAUCAUUUUUGCUAUUUUUAAAGACAUUUAUUUAUUUUUUUAUUUUUUUAUUUUGGCAGGUUACGGCCUCCAUAAAAACACAGCUCAAAGUGAAAAUAAACAAUUAUUAAAUUAUUAGUUUAGUAUGUCCUCUUAAAUUGAUUGUCCUGUUUGAUGCUUUUGCAAAUAUAUGCAAAAAAUAAAUAAAAAUAAAAAUAAAGUACAUUUAUUCAAGGACUUUACUUCUGUAAGUACAGUUUUGAGAUAAUGACUACUUGUACUUUAAUUUUUAGCCUGCAGUACUAUUCUUCUCCACUACAUCUCAGAGGGAAUUAUUGUAUUUCUACUGCUCCGCAUUUAUAAAUAAAACGUGAUCAAUUUAUAAAAUAUGAUGGUGUGUUUUAGAUUUAACUAAAAGUAUAUAA